This 515-nucleotide ribosomal RNA is filed under the name uncultured bacterium. RNAcentral describes it as "bacterial SSU rRNA". It matches the Rfam family "Bacterial small subunit ribosomal RNA", at positions 1007 to 1523 of the family's 1533-position model. The record is from RNAcentral.
AGAGAUGGAUAGAUAGUUAUAUGAGAUACAGGUGGUGCAUGGUUGUCGUCAGCUCGUGUCGUGAGAUGUUGGGUUAAGUCCCGCAACGAGCGCAACCCUUGUCGUUAGUUACCAUCAUUAAGUUGGGGACUCUAGCGAGACUGCCAGUGACAAGCUGGAGGAAGGCGGGGAUGACGUCAAAUCAUCAUGCCCCUUAUGACCUGGGCUACACACGUGCUACAAUGGAUGGUGCAGAGGGAAGCGAAGCCGCGAGGCGAAGCAAAACCCAUAAAACCAUUCUCAGUUCGGAUUGUAGUCUGCAACUCGACUACAUGAAGUUGGAAUCGCUAGUAAUCGCGAAUCAGCAUGUCGCGGUGAAUACGUUCUCGGGCCUUGUACACACCGCCCGUCACACCAUGAGAGUUGAUAACACCCGAAGCCGGUGGCCUAACCGAAAGGAAGGAGCUGUCUAAGGUGGGAUUGAUGAUUGGGGUGAAGUCGUAACAAGGUAUCCCUACGGGAACGUGCGGCUGGAU